Molecule: small RNA, 28 nt
Filed under: Bombyx mori (domestic silkworm)
Lineage: Eukaryota; Metazoa; Arthropoda; Insecta; Lepidoptera; Bombycidae
Description: ovarian small RNA-2966
Source: RNAcentral
UACCUUCACGGUCCUAAAGUAUUUGAGU